AUGAAUGAUGACGAUGGAUAUACGUACGCACCUCACCUGUCGCCAACUUGGCAAUGCAGAUGCAGGACGAGGCGUGGCGAGCACGGGGAACUUGCCUCCCGAUGCACCGCGGCCCGGGUUUCCGCCCACCAUCGCCGGAGCCGGCACAAAAGUGCGCGCCCCCCUCCCCCUGCCGGCUUCAAGCACGGGACAUGCAUGCAUGAUGUUUCGCUCUCCGCUUGUCGCCGUUGGAGGAAGUCGCCUGCAAAAAUUCCUCACGAUACUCACAAGAAUCUGCCAAACUCAUAUAUCAGCAGUGGCAACUUUCUAAUUUUGUUUGCAAAACCGUGUCGUGUAUGA
This 339-nucleotide ribosomal RNA is filed under the name Triticum aestivum (bread wheat). RNAcentral describes it as "partial small subunit ribosomal RNA". Lineage: Eukaryota; Viridiplantae; Streptophyta; Magnoliopsida; Poales; Poaceae. The record is from RNAcentral.